CGCCGAGUUCUCGCGGCCGCAAAGCUGUGGCGCGGAGUCCGCGGGGCGGCGCCGGAGACGGAGGGAAGUGAUAACACCGAGCCCGGCGAACCCACGUGUUGUGCGACUGGAAACUUAAAACAGCCAGGGGGAGGAGGUCGCACGGAGAAGACGCAGUUCGAGUCUGGCUCUUGGAAGUCUUCGGUACACAGAGGGCCCGGAGCUUAAAGCUCAUUAGCUUCACAUGCAAACUGCUGCUGCAGCCCUCCUAGGAUUGUUGUGAGGAUUCACGAGGUGAGCCCUGAGAGCCCUGCCCCGUGCCUGGCUCGCACCAAAGGCGCUGUGUAGAGGAUUCAGGUCCCUGGGACCGGUCGGAGGGACCCGGGAAAUGCAGAAAUCACAUUGACUGCAACUAUGGGCCAGGUGUUUGAAACGCCCAGUGUGCUUAAUUUACCCACAAACAUGUGCACGUAUGCGAGAGCAUUCUGCCCGUGUCAUAGCUCCAAAAAAUAAGGCUCGGAGAAGUCGUGUAACUUGCUCAGUCUCACAAAAUUCUGCCAUAUUACAAUUCUGCCAUAUUACAGGUUUUUCCACAGUUACAUGUCACAAAUAAUAUGUAAAUUAUUACUAUGACUUCUUGUUGGGACAACAGAAGAAAUUCCCCACGAGAGAACAAAGUGCCUCAGAAAAACCUACUCACGAAUUUUCCCUGCAAAACUUCCCCACUUCAGAACCAAAGCAAAUGAAAUGUUUUUCUGCAGGUGAAGUACCUUGCUGCAAAAUCAAGAAACGGCUUUACUCAAGUGUAUGCAGGUCAUACAUUCAUUUUCUCUGCUAGCACGGUGUGUGUUUACUUUUCCUAUCAUUUAUUCAUACUGUUACAGUUCAAACUAGUGGGUUUAUAAUCUACCCUCAAGAGGCUUAUAAAUAAAACAGACAAAAUGAAAGAAACUUUUGGGGGCAAGAUACUUCAUAUACUUUUUCUCUGAAUUACCACAUCACUUUGCUGUAGUUAUAAUUACUUGCUGUUAGCCGGUGAAAAUUCGAAAGUAUAUUAAUUUGUUUAAAUGCACACAGUCACAAUUUGAACCCAAUUUUGCCUGGAUCCUAAACGUUGGCUCUUUUUUUUUUUAACACCUAGGCAAGAAAAGAAUAAACUACUAAAAUACAUUAAUUCAUUUAUGUAGUACAAAGUAGGAGGAAAGAAUACCACAAAUUAUGAUAGCUAUUUUCUUAAACUGUUUCUAUAGUGGAAUAAUUCAACAUAAACUCCAUACCCACAGUGCAGUGUUCUAAGGUGAGGAAAAGAGAGUGCUUAUUACAUUACCAGGCAUAGCAGAGCAUCGAUAGAAUGAAUGCAUUCAUAAAUAAUCAGUAAAAUGGUAGUUACUGGUGAGUGUGUCGCUAAGAAUGAACUUGGGGUGUUGCCUGUCCCACACAAGUGCUUCUCCACUGGGCUACGUCCCCCAUAAGUCACAGCCUUUCAAUAGAAUUAUUCUUGUAAAAUGACAAUAUAACCAAGACACCCCCUCCCCUUGGCUUAUAAACAGGCAAGUUAAAUUGUAAAAGGGUACAAGAGGAGAGUAGAAGCAAAGAAGCCAGACACAGUGGCUCACACCUGUCAUCCCUGCACCUUGGUAGGCUGAGGUAGGAGGAGCCAAAGUUUGAGCAUGGGCAAUUUAGUGAGACCCUGAAUCAAGAUUUUUAAAGGGGACAGGGAACUGAGAAGGGGAGUGAGGGCGGUGAGGGGAGACAUCCUUUCCUUCGCCUGCUUCUCAGAGGAGAAAGACUUUUGUACUUCAGGAAAAAAACCACAAAAGUGCAUUGCAGUUUCUAACUGAGAAAUGGGAGCCAUAGUUUGACUUUUAUUGUAUGGGAGUCAAACCAGUGUUUCUAAAGAUGGAAAUCAAACUUGCUUCUGUGCUGACCUCCCCAACAUAUUCGUCCCUCCUCCCUCUCCCUCUCGGAGCCUUUGGGUGGUGGGGGAUGGGGUCACAUCUUUAAUAAGGGAUGCCCCUUCCAUACCUCUCCCUCUGGCCUGGAAGCAUUCAUGCAAGAAGUGAACUUUCAAAGACUUUCAAAGACAAAUUCAAUAAAGGAAGUGAGAGGGGCACACAUACACCUUGCAAGGAUUCAGGGGCUCAGGGAAAAGGUUGGAAUGGGGGAUCUAAUAAAAAAGGAAUGGCUCAUUUUUGCAUUUAUCCAGGCCCACCCACUCCAAAGCCCAAGCUCCUUAUCCGAUGUGCUACCUGCUUUGCAAGAGACCAAGUUAGACCUCUGAUCUAGACAUGGCAAUUGGCAAAAUAGAAAGGAAAAGAGGAGAAAAGGAUUCUGCUUUCUUAAAUGAGCUGCAGAAGAAAUGAGGCUCUUGGGCCUCAAGCUGCAAGCAAACUGAUUCCCUAGUUCCAGGAGAGACCAGAGCUCCCCUUGGUCACGCACCUGUUAACCCUCAUUUUCGAGUGUCACUAGUGGGGCCAGCAGUGAGUCAGUUUUAAAGUUCAGGGUCUGUCCUUCUGUACACUGCGCAGAGGCACUGUGUACACUGAUACACCACACCAUUCCUUUCACAGACUGAUUUCCAGUCGGGGUCACCAUCUGCAGAGAGGUGACUCCAGCUACAGUGUGGGGUGCUGCCCUCAGGUGCUUACCCAGAGCAGCAAAGGUUGCUGGGGGCUUGAGGCCGCCAUGCCCAUGCCCACCAUGGGGAAGAGCCGCUGUCUUUGACCUCCACCAGUCCCUUGAUGUGCCCAUGAGACACACGGGAAACCACGUCCCAGUAACCAGAACUUUCUGUGCAGUACAGCAGUGGGGGUAGUUUAGUUCCAAAGGGGUCUCAGCCCUGGGGCACUAACAUAAUCAGGUCCACUGCAGGAGUGGAGACUAAAGAUCCCUGUCUCAUCCCCAUCUUAACUUCACAGCCUGGCAUGACGCUGGUAGUUUAAUCCACACAGGUGCCUGCCACAGGGGAGGCCCCCCAUCUCCCUGUCUUCCCUGGGCCAUAAAAGGAAUUUUGCAAUCUCUUUUUUUUCAAGUACUGAGAAGCCUGAAUAGUAUCUAUAAUUUUUUUCAUAUGUGUUUACUUUUUGUUUUUUUGUUGAUUUUGUGGUACUAAGGAUUGAACCCAGGGGUGCUCUACUACUGAGCUAUCUCCCUAGCCCUUUUUAUUUUUCAUUUGAGACAAAGUCUCACUAACUUGCCCAGGUGGGACUCAAUCUUCUAUUCCCUUUUAGGAGCUGCCCCUGAGCCAUUCCGCUGUGGUGGUUGUUACUUUCCCAAAUUGUUCCAUAUUACUGGGGCAUCCAAAGAAUAUUUACUGAUCAGAUCUGCUGUGAAUUGAUCUACUCUCAGAGCAUAAUCAGCUUUCCCUUUCACCAUCUCUCCACUGCCUGUCUACCUCCACAGUUCUAAACUUUCUCAUCCAAGAUGUUAAUUGUUCCCUCUCCUCACUCUCAGUAGACCACAUUGUUCCCAUCUUCAUGUAGAAAUGUUUCCGACUGGAGCUUCAACAGAUGUUGUAUCUUCCCACUGUGGAUCUAUUUUCUUCACUGUGAGAAACAGGUCCUGGCAAAAGCUCAUCCCGUGUCUUAAAUUCAAAACCUCUACCUGGCCCAGAAUUAAACUCCAUCCCCUGCUCCAAUCUACUUGCAUUUUCCAAGUAGUUCACUUUGUUGAAUCUUAGCCUCUGUCUUCAAGCCUAGGCCUUCGUUAUUCUUUAAAGAAUACUAGUAUUAAUAUAAUGUCAAAAAGUUCUGCAUUUCCCUCAAACUAUUGACUAUAGCUCAAUAUUUCCUUUCUAC
Molecule: long non-coding RNA, 3776 nt
Organism: Heterocephalus glaber (naked mole-rat)
Lineage: Eukaryota; Metazoa; Chordata; Mammalia; Rodentia; Bathyergidae
Source: Ensembl